Etheostoma spectabile (orangethroat darter) is the source of this 141-nucleotide long non-coding RNA. RefSeq lists it as uncharacterized. Lineage: Eukaryota; Metazoa; Chordata; Actinopteri; Perciformes; Percidae. The transcript has 3 exons. The record is from RefSeq and is a predicted model, not a curated record.
GUCAUCAGAUAUUGCUAAAAAUGCUAAGUUGAAAUACUAGCUUUUCUGACAUCAAUGCUAAUACCAGUAUUUUCUCCAUUUGAAAUUUCCGUUCCAUGACGGAAUUUCUGUUUGUGUUUUAGCCUAUGUAUUGGUAUCAAC